Aquila chrysaetos chrysaetos is the source of this 1847-nucleotide long non-coding RNA. RefSeq lists it as uncharacterized. The transcript has 3 exons. The record is from RefSeq and is a predicted model, not a curated record. Lineage: Eukaryota; Metazoa; Chordata; Aves; Accipitriformes; Accipitridae.
ACAGGUGAAUCCCAAAAUUCUGGUUUUAUCAGUACCAGGAGCGCUGCCCGAAGAGUUUUAUGCUGCAGAAGAAUGGUGCCCCUAUGCCACUGUCUCAACUCCUGACAAGUGAACUCAAGAUUAAAAAAAGAAAUGGGAUUUCUGCAAAAGAAUUAGAGACACCUGAGUUUAAACCUUAAAUAUUGAAUGCUUCUCUCCAAUUUCCCUGGAGAAUAGGCCUUGGAUGAAACAGACAUCAGAGCAUGCCAGAGCAUGCACCUGAGCUGAGUUUCUGGUCGACAGCAAAGGCAUUGGUCUGGAAAUGGUCUCUGGGAAGAUUCACUUAUCUGAUGCCUCUUUGCCCCUCUGCCUCUACCUCCUAUGCUUCUUGUCACCUACGUGUUCUACCACAUGACUUCCACUUUCAUAUCUUUUGUUUAGACAUCCCUGUACUCACCAGCUACACUCUGAAGAACUCAAGUCUAAGUAUCCAAGCGCACUUAAGAAAUGCAAGAGGGGAUUUUUAUUUUAUUUUUAAAACAUACAUUACCUUGUUUCCAGCUCUGUAAAUGGGUGAGUAGAGUAAUGGCCCGUAGAGUAAUCUUUUAGGACUGAUCCAAACCAUAUGAGAACUUAUCUGUUGGCAAAUUCACCAGUUACUGCCCUUUCUGUUUCAGCUUGCAAGUAACAGAACAAAUUCUGGUAUCAAAAAUUUUAUAUCCAUGCUAUUUAAAAGUGAUUUUUCAUUUUCUGAGAUGGACACUUAUAUUAACUACUCAGGGAAAAAUAAUUACUUGUGAUUAUUUUACAGCAGUACAACAACAGCAGAUAAGAAUUUGAGAUGGGAUUUAUUUUUUGGUUAAGGAGGGAGAAAACAGGUAGGAAUUCCACUCUCCUACCACACUUCCUCAGGCAAACUUGGCCAAAAAAAAAAAAAAAAAAAAAAAGCAGCCAGAUUUUGGCCACCAAAAGCUAGCAUUUUGUCCAGAAUGCUCAUCAAAUAUUUAAGUAUCAAGGACAAAAUCAAGAGUUACACUUGGGGACUACAUAUCUAGCCUUCAGAGAACAAGCAUUUUGCUGAAAGCUACAAUUCAGUCUAAACUGAAUUUUAUUUUUCUCCCUACAAAAGCAUCUAUGUUCAGAGAUUGGUAAUAGCAUAGUUUACACUAGAUUUGCUCAGUGCUCUAGUCCUAGCAUUGAGACACCCGCAGUCACUACGUACAUGUAUAAGACUUCAGAUUCUUCACGAUCUGCUAGGCUUCAACUCAGUGGCAGACAAUUAAAUCCUUGUCAGAUUGGCUGAGAAUUUUAGCUCAGAAGGAGGCACUGUACUCCCAAUGUCACCCACAUACUUGUAUCUAUUGCUUUAGACUACUGCCUGUUUACUAUCAGUCCUGAAUUUUGGAUGCAAGAAUAAAAGGGUCUAAAUUAGUGUCAUGUAACACACAAAAGGAAAGCACAAGAGUAUGAAAGAAAAGCAAUCAACAAGGAAGCUGAGAAACAGGAAGCUGAAAGCAGACCAUGUUUUUCAGCUACUAUUUACGUUUUUUUAAUCUUUGUGCAAAUGAUACAAACUUGAAUCCUAAGGCUAGAAAAGAGUACAGCAUGGUAAAAGAGAAAAGAAUUCUCAUUAAUGAGGCCCCGAGGCUUGAAGUUUCUCUCUCAUCCCUGUCUCAAAGAAUGAGGCAGUUGUCAACUGCUGUAUUGGCCCAAGGUUGUAGAACAGAUUUCCAUCCUACUGAAAAUGAGAAUUUCUAUGCUCAUCAGGGGAAAGUUUAGGUGCUGCUGUUGCUGAAGAUCUGCAUUAGUCCUCUUAAAAUAUUUUUGAUAUAAAAAGCUUUUGCUUAGAUGGCCGUGUAUGCUAAAGA